This is a non-coding RNA of Pelobates cultripes (western spadefoot toad), 842 nucleotides long. NCBI's taxonomy places the organism in Eukaryota, Metazoa, Chordata, Amphibia, Anura, Pelobatidae. The record is from the annotation of a GenBank genome assembly.
CUUAUACAGAGAUGUCUCUUCAGUCUUCUAAUUCCCAUUUGUGAGUAUUGGGUGGUAAUAUAAUAGGGACAGACAAUAUAUAAAAAAUUCUGGAGGACAAUCUUCACAGAAUAGAAAUAUGUAAUGUUAGCACUUUUGGAUUUAUUUACUAAAUAGUGAGACUAAAAAUAGCCAACUCAGAAACUCUCCAACCACUGAAAAGCCCAAGAUAAUUAUCGACUCAACAAAACCUACUGUUUAGUGAAUAUCUCCGACUCUAUGUUAUAGAAAAUAAUUAUCCUUAGUAAAUGCUUUGUGACUCUAAAUCCAGUGUCUGCACAUUAAACAUUCAUCUCACCUUGCCAUUUGUUCGUAAGAAUGCAACAUUUUUUAAUAUAACCUGCUGUUCAUAUGUUUCAGGUCUGGCACAGACAUCCACCAUUAAUCAGUGGCCCAGAACAAUCAUGAGGGAGUUAGGUUCCGUGGUACACAUGAACUGCACUCAGACGACAGAUCACAACUAUAUGUACUGGUAUCUACAGAGGAAUGGUCAAGGACUAGAGCUUAUAGCCUGGAGUCUCCUAGGCCAAACACCUGAGAAUGAGAAAGGGAUUGACAAAGACAAGUUUAUAAUGACCAGGACUGAGUCAGGGAAGACAACUCACCUGGAAAUCAAAUCCCUGGAGAACCAGGACAAAGGGAUCUAUUUCUGUGCUUCUAGUGAAGCACAGUGACUCAGGAGAGCCAGACGCCUUUCAAAUAACCUCACACUACAAGCUAGAGCAGUUUAUCUCUAAAAAUUAUCAGACACAGUUCAGUGGGUUUAGAAUGAAGAAACCUGUCCUCAAUUAACAACACGUACA